GACGAACGCUGGCGGCGUGCCUAAUACAUGCAAGUCGAGCGAACGGACGCGAAGCUUGCUUCUCUGAUGUUAGCGGCGGACGGGUGAGUAACACGUGGAUAACCUACCUAUCAGACUGGGAUAACUUCGGGAAACCGUAGCUAAUACCGGAUAAUAUUUUGAACCGCAUGGUUCAAAAGUGAAAGACGGCCUUGCUGUCUCUUAUAGAUUGAUCCGCGCUGCAUUAGCUAGUUGGUAAGGUAACGGCUUACCAAGGCAACGAUGCAUAGCCGACCUGAGAGGGUGAUCGGCCACACUGGAACUGAGACACGGUCCAGACUCCUACGGGAGGCAGCAGUAGGGAAUCUUCCGCAAUGGGCGAAAGCCUGACGGAGCAACGCCGCGUGAGUGAUGAAGGUCUUCGGAUCGUAAAACUCUGUUAUUAGGGAAGAACAUAUGUGGAAGUAACUGUGCACAUCUUGACGGUACCUAAUCAGAAAGCCACGGCUAACUACGUG
Molecule: ribosomal RNA, 497 nt
Filed under: uncultured bacterium
Lineage: Bacteria
Description: partial 16S ribosomal RNA
Rfam family: Bacterial small subunit ribosomal RNA
Source: RNAcentral